AUGCUUCUAUUUGACAGACCUGCAGCAAUUGCCUUUUUGCUGCCAGUUCUUGCGACAGAAGCAAGAAAAAAGUGUCCUCAUAUUUUCUGAUUAUGGUAUCCCAGAUGGGAUGGGAGGAUACAGGA
RNAcentral lists this small nucleolar RNA (125 nucleotides) under Sorex araneus (European shrew). RNAcentral's name for it is "Small nucleolar RNA SNORA31 (ENSSARG00000019452.1)". The record is from RNAcentral. Lineage: Eukaryota; Metazoa; Chordata; Mammalia; Eulipotyphla; Soricidae.